UUUAUUUUGUUAGCAUCUCUUAUUUUGAAGGGUCACAUUGAUGUGUGGCCCAUGUGACUUGUUCCAGCCAACCGAGUUGCUACGUGCUCUGGCGCUAAAAGAAUUGGAGAGAGCAAGAAAGAAGCAGAGAGAGCAAGGGAGAAGCGGAGAGAGCAUUGAGCUAAGAGUUGUGCUGUGAGAGAAAAAAGAGAGUUAAGAAAAAAAUAGACAAUUAAAAAAAAAAAGCGCCUGUUGUUGGGGAAACUUUUCCAUUGUUGGAGGAGGAGCUUUCCACAUUUUUCACCGACCGUGUUCAGCGUGUACACGUUGUAGAACUGGACUUGGCUUUUUUGAAGUUGCUGGAGGUUUGACCGGGGAACUUCGAGUCGAUCUCCAAGUUGGAUUCUACUGAAGAGAGCGAAACAAGAUGGCGAGCCGUAACCCAGGAACUCUGUAACUGCCGUCUAGCAGGAGCCACACAUUCCGCUGGACAAUCCCAAUCAUCCAAACUGGUAUGAUCUACCCAUGUUUCCUGCUGAAUUAGCAUUGGGAACGGAAUAAACCCUGCAGGACCAUCAGAGGAAAGAGACAUUGAUCUAAACACAAAUUAUUCAGCCUUUUUUUUUCUGAAUUUGUUGAAUUGUGUUUUAUUGUUUCUUUUCCUGAAACCCAUUCAAUGUCCUUUGUGUGUAUUGAAUGUGAAAUUGUCUGUUGGGUAGAAAUGGAAAUAAGAAAUGGUUAAACCAGGAAAUUAAAAUCUUAACUUCCUUAAAGAGAACUCUAAAUAGCUAAAUUAGAUUUAAAAGAUUAGAGAAUCGAUUAGACUGUAAAUUAACUAAAUUAACAGUAUUCAUCGGAACUAAAAUAGAACUAUAACCUAGGUUAGAAAAAAUAAAAUAGUAAUCCUUUUAAAACCUAGCAUUAGGUUUAAAUUCCAAACAGGGGAACUAUUUUAGGAUCUAAAUGUGUGUCAUGUUAUGUCAACUGCUGUAAUAUUGUUGUUGUUCUUUCUUUGGAUAAAAAAUUAAGCCGGUAGUUCAAACUA
Long non-coding RNA from Fundulus heteroclitus (mummichog), 1024 nucleotides. RefSeq lists it as uncharacterized. The transcript is spliced from 2 exons. NCBI's taxonomy places the organism in Eukaryota, Metazoa, Chordata, Actinopteri, Cyprinodontiformes, Fundulidae. The record is from RefSeq and is a predicted model, not a curated record.